RNAcentral lists this ribosomal RNA (489 nucleotides) under uncultured Mycobacterium sp. RNAcentral's name for it is "bacterial SSU rRNA". It matches the Rfam family "Bacterial small subunit ribosomal RNA", at positions 73 to 575 of the family's 1533-position model. The record is from RNAcentral. Lineage: Bacteria; Bacillati; Actinomycetota; Actinomycetes; Mycobacteriales; Mycobacteriaceae.
UGCNCUUNCGGAGUGACUCGAGUGGCGAACGGGUGAGUAACACGUGGGUGAUCUGCCCUGCACUUUGGGAUAAGCCUGGGAAACUGGGUCUAAUACCGAAUACACCCUGCUGGUCGCAUGGCCUGGUGGGGGAAAGCUUUUGCGGUGUGGGAUGGGCCCGCGGCCUAUCAGCUUGUUGGUGGGGUGAUGGCCUACCAAGGCGACGACGGGUAGCCGGCCUGAGAGGGUGUCCGGCCACACUGGGACUGAGAUACGGCCCAGACUCCUACGGGAGGCAGCAGUGGGGAAUAUUGCACAAUGGGCGCAAGCCUGAUGCAGCGACGCCGCGUGAGGGAUGACGGCCUUCGGGUUGUAAACCUCUUUCAAUAGGGACGAAGCGCAAGUGACGGUACCUAUAGAAGAAGGACCGGCCAACUACGUGCCAGCAGCCGCGGUAAUACGUAGGGUCCGAGCGUUGUCCGGAAUUACUGGGCGUAAAGAGCUCGUAGG